CACGCAGGUAGUGAUGUGUAGGUCUCAGCGCAGCUACCUGGAGGCGCACAUCAACCUGCGGGG
Molecule: microRNA precursor, 63 nt
Filed under: Monodelphis domestica (gray short-tailed opossum)
Lineage: Eukaryota; Metazoa; Chordata; Mammalia; Didelphimorphia; Didelphidae
Description: microRNA mdo-mir-12379 precursor
Source: miRBase by way of RNAcentral